This 449-nucleotide ribosomal RNA is filed under the name uncultured bacterium. RNAcentral's name for it is "partial 16S ribosomal RNA". It matches the Rfam family "Bacterial small subunit ribosomal RNA", at positions 29 to 526 of the family's 1533-position model. The record is from RNAcentral.
AACGAACGCUGGCGGCAUGCCUAACACAUGCAAGUCGAACGAGACCUUCGGGUCUAGUGGCGCACGGGUGCGUAACGCGUGGGAAUCUGCCCUCUGGUACGGAAUAACUCAGGGAAACUUGAGCUAAUACCGUACAAUGACUUCGGUCCAAAGAUUUAUCGCCGGAGGAUGAGCCCGCGUCGGAUUAGCUUGUUGGUGAGGUAAAGGCUCACCAAGGCGACGAUCCGUAGCUGGUCUGAGAGGAUGAUCAGCCACACUGGGACUGAGACACGGCCCAGACUCCUACGGGAGGCAGCAGUGGGGAAUAUUGGACAAUGGGCGCAAGCCUGAUCCAGCAAUGCCGCGUGAGUGAUGAAGGCCCUAGGGUUGUAAAGCUCUUUUACCCGGGAUGAUAAUGACAGUACCGGGAGAAUAAGCCCCGGCUAACUCCGCGCCAGCCGCCGUAAAAC